RNAcentral lists this ribosomal RNA (253 nucleotides) under uncultured bacterium. Its description in RNAcentral is "partial 16S ribosomal RNA". It matches the Rfam family "Bacterial small subunit ribosomal RNA", at positions 524 to 776 of the family's 1533-position model. The record is from RNAcentral.
UACGAAGGGGGCUAGCGUUGUUCGGAAUUACUGGGCGUAAAGCGUGCGCAGGCGGCUUCUCAAGUCAGGGGUGAAAGCCCAGAGCUCAACUCUGGAAUUGCCUUUGAGACUGAGUGGCUUGAGUACGGGAGAGGUGAGUGGAAUUCCCAGUGUAGAGGUGAAAUUCGUAGAUAUUGGGAAGAACACCGGUGGCGAAGGCGGGUCUCUGGGCAGUAACUGACGCUGAGGAGCGAAAGCGUGGGUAGCAAACAGG